This 250-nucleotide ribosomal RNA is filed under the name uncultured bacterium. RNAcentral's name for it is "partial 16S ribosomal RNA". It matches the Rfam family "Bacterial small subunit ribosomal RNA", at positions 524 to 773 of the family's 1533-position model. The record is from RNAcentral.
UACGAACUGUGCGAACGUUAUUCGGAAUCACUGGGCUUAAAGGGUGCGUAGGCGGUUACUUAAGUAGGGUGUGAAAUGUCCCGGCUCAACCGGGGAAUGGCGCUCUAAACUGGGUGGCUUGAGUGAGAUAGAGGUGUGCGGAACUUCCGGUGGAGCGGUGAAAUGUGUUGAUAUCGGAGGGAACACCAUUGGCGAAAGCGGCACACUGGGUCUCAACUGACGCUGAGGCACGAAAGCCAGGGGAGCAAAC